RNAcentral lists this ribosomal RNA (497 nucleotides) under uncultured bacterium. RNAcentral describes it as "partial 16S ribosomal RNA". It matches the Rfam family "Bacterial small subunit ribosomal RNA", at positions 28 to 507 of the family's 1533-position model. The record is from RNAcentral.
GAUGAACGCUGGCGGCGUGCCUAAUACAUGCAAGUCGAGCGAACGGACGAGAAGCUUGCUUCUCUGAUGUUAGCGGCGGACGGGUGAGUAACACGUGGAUAACCUACCUAUAAGACUGGGAUAACUUCGGGAAACCGGAGCUAAUACCGGAUAAUAUUUUGAACCGCAUGGUUCAAAAGUGAAAGACGGUCUUGCUGUCACUUAUAGAUGGAUCCGCGCUGCAUUAGCUAGUUGGUAAGGUAACGGCUUACCAAGGCAACGAUGCAUAGCCGACCUGAGAGGGUGAUCGCACAGACUGGAACUGAGACAGGGUCCAGACUCCUACGGGAGGCCGCAGUAGGGAAUCUUCCGCAAUGGGCGAAAGCCUGACGGAGCAACGCCGCGUGAGUGAUGAAGGUCUUCGGAUCGUAAAGCUCUGUUAUUAGGGAAGAACAUAUGUGUAAGUAACUGUGCACAUCUUGACGGUACCUAAUCAGAAAGCCACGGCUAACUCCGUG